UGUGUGUGUGUCAGCAUGGCCUCAUGCUGUUGACAGCGGGCCGCAGUUACCUGGCUGUGGUACUGGGCGUCAGGUUUUUCUUGUCCCCCAAUGUAUUGUCCUCUUUGGAAGGAGUCCUAAGUACAACCCCCGUGUAAGGCUGGGGAGUUCUGCUCCAUCUCUCUUUUUUAUUUUAAGAUUUUAUUUAUUUACUUGGGGGAAAGAAAGAGAGUGCACAGGGGUGAAUGGGGGAGAGGUGCAGAGGGAGAGCAGGUUGCCUGCUGAGCAGGGAGCCUGAUACAGGACUCGAUCUCAGGACCUGGGAUCAUGACCUGAGCCCAAGGCAGAUGCGUAACGGACUGAGCCGCCCAGGCGCCCCCCUGCUCCCUCUCCCCAAAGCCAGGGUAUCUACAUAAAUUCUCCGGGAUUCUGUACAGGAGGGAUCUGUUCUCCCCAUUCUCUCCCAUUUGUGUAUUUACUCCAUCGUGCAUAUCAGUAUGGAUCAGGGAUACGUAUAUACUUGGGGUUAUAAUCCAAUACUGUUAUUUUCUGUCUUUGGCCAUUGAGCGCUCUUUUGGUUGGCUCCUGUGUCCCUCUGACACGUUUGUCCACCGAGUGGGGCUUUCAGCCCCUGGAGAGGAAGGGAAAUGGCAGCCCUGACAGACACCACAGUGGAACAUUCCAUCUGCUAGGAUGAGCCACAGCUCCCUCCCUCUGCCCGUCUGGUCCUUGUCAUCUGGCAUAGCCACCAAGCCUCAGUAAAGGCUCAUCAUUUGGUUCUCUGCCCACAUGGGCAGGGUUUCUGUGCUCUUAAUGUGCAGGAGAGGGAACCAACCAAGACAGGGAUCUUGAUCCAGUCAGGGCUUGCAUCCCAGUUAGCCAUGAGGGCCUUGUGGGGCAGGCGCUACUGGUGUCCCAGGAGUGAUAGCCCACCUGAGCAUGUAUGGGAUGCGGCAGGCAAGAGGGCUGAGGUCAUGCUGUGGGCGUCCAUCUAGGGCCUCCCAAGAGUUCCCUGGCCACACUUCCGCCCUCAGGAAGCCCCUGCCAGUCCCUGUUGGAUCUUCUGUGGCCUGGCCCUUGAGGGAAUUGCCCCCAUGGGGUCUUGGGGGGGCGGUGAGGAGACCCAAGUUUGCUGGGGGAUGGUGGGACGCUUCCUGAAGUCCCGGCUGAGCACUGCAGCCUGCCCGGCUGCCCAUGUCCUUUCUGCUGGUGCCUGGGUCUGGUUCCUCCCACCUCAAGGCACAUGAGUAAAGAAGAAUCACGGGCACCCCGGUGGCUCAGUGGUUUAGCACUGCCUUCAGCCCAGGGCCUGAUCCUGGAGACCAGGGAUCGAGUCCCACGUCGGGCUCCCUGAAUGGAGCCUGCUUCUCCCUCUACCUGCGUCUCUGCCUCUCUCUUUCUCUCUCUCUCUCUCUGUGUCUCUCGUGAAUAAAUAAAAUCUUUAAAAAAAAAAAUCACACAUCUAAGGUGUGGCAAGAGCUAUUAAGUACUAGAGCCUGUGUCACUGCUUUCCGUUUCCUUCUGUGUUCUCACGGUGGCCCUGUGGCCCUAAGAGAGUGGUGCAGGUUUAGUUACCUGCCUAGCUAGUAAGAGGUGGAACCAGGAUUUAGUUAGACUGGCUAGACUCCGGGCUCAUCACCCCCUGGCCAUACCACGUGCCUCAGUGUGUGAGUGGUCGGCAAGGCCUUCGCAGUCCGAGCCCUGUAGCAGACAGGUGAGGUGAGCAGGGUCAGGUGUGAGGACAGUGGCUCUGCCCCAGAGGGAUCUCUUCCCGCAGCCCCCAAACCUUCCACAGCAUUUGAGGAGCAGGCUAGCGGCAGUGAUGCUGGCAAACGUCAAAGGCACAGGUUAGGACAGUCCUUGCAGCUGCUCAGGGAUCCCCGAUGGCCAGAGCAGUCUUGGUGAGGAGGGGGUGUGUGGUCAUAGCCCCUUGGUCCUGCUCCUCAGGGAUCCUGGCCUUGGCGGUGCUUAGGGAGCUGGCCCACCUCGCUCAUCUGUGCUCCAGUGAGGGAGAUGGUUCUGGAUAGGUAGGAAGGUUGGGUUAUUUUAAUUUUCCUUCUAUUUUUUCCAGCAAGGCCUGUGAUUAUUACAUUAAUCUUCCAGGCGAAGUUUUUACAACCAAUCCCUCGCCGACUAUGAGAAGUUUCUCCAUCCAUUACCAAGAGGGAAACAGACCCUGGUGGGGAGGAAAAUAUUUGUUACAUCUUAUCAGGCUGACACACAAUCUAACAACAAUUACAGCAGCCCCAUUUUUUGCACUAUUUCAGCUCUGGCGUGAAAAAUUGUUGUAAUAUUAAAGUGAGUCAGGGUGGGGGCUGGUCAUAGAAGAGGCUGCUGCUAUUCCAGGCUCUGGGCCCUGGCUUUCUGGCCUCCCCGGGCAAGCCCACUGGGCUCCGAGGGGGAGUGUUUGCAUGUAAAUCCCAGCUCGCUUCUUGGGCUAAUGGCCCUGAAGCUGCAGAGACGCCUAGGAAUGUGGAAGGGCUCCUGAAGGACCCGUGCCCCCAGUCCUGCCCCCAGCCCUUUGCAGCCCAAAUGCCUGCUCACCACCACGCCUCUUAGGGUGUUCUCCCUGGACUGCUUAAAACGAUGUUGUGUUUUUUAGGACUAAACAGAUAGAUGGAAGUGUCACACCAGAAAAGGACUUGGCGAGCAAACCUUCCUCAACGUUUUUCUAAUAAAACCGAGCUGCCCAGU
This 2673-nucleotide long non-coding RNA is filed under the name Canis lupus familiaris (dog). Its description in RNAcentral is "lncRNA (ENSCAFG00805012181.1, ENSCAFG00845018497.1)". The record is from RNAcentral. Lineage: Eukaryota; Metazoa; Chordata; Mammalia; Carnivora; Canidae.